RNAcentral lists this long non-coding RNA (313 nucleotides) under Coffea arabica (coffee). Its description in RNAcentral is "long non-coding RNA (CARA_LNC001265)". The record is from RNAcentral. Lineage: Eukaryota; Viridiplantae; Streptophyta; Magnoliopsida; Gentianales; Rubiaceae.
GGGGACACCCAAACUCAUAGGCCGACCUUGGGACUCGAGCCGGCAUGGGUUUGGUCAGAAAUCUCGGUGAGUCAUGAGAAUCACAUGAUAAGUUUGAUCUAUUGGAGAGAUCUUACUCGGCAUACUCAUUGAGUAUCGUCUAAUAAAUGUCGUGCGGGCCCGAUGUGGUAUGUACGGUGGACGGGCAUGAGAAGUAAGUGGAGAUCUACGGAUUGGAAAUACUGACCCGAUUGACGGAGAGUCAUUGCGAGAAGGUAUACGAAUGACCCUGGCAAAGCAUGUGGAACUUAGCUCCUGAGAGCUACCAUAUCAU